AGUCGCCGCGGUAAUAUGUAGGGUGCGAGCGUUAAUCGGAAUUACUGGGCGUAAAGCGUGCGCAGGCGGUUCGUUAAGACAGAUGUGAAAUCCCCGGGCUUAACCUGGGAACUGCAUUUGUGACUGGCGAGCUAGAGUAUGGCAGAGGGGGGUAGAAUUCCACGUGUAGCAGUGAAAUGCGUAGAUAUGCGGAGGAACACCGAUGGCGAAGGCAGCCCCCUGGGCCAAUACUGACGCUCAUGCACGAAAGCGUGGGGAGCAAACAGGAUUAGAUACCCGGGUAGUCCCUGUCUCUUAUACA
RNAcentral lists this ribosomal RNA (301 nucleotides) under uncultured bacterium. RNAcentral's name for it is "partial 16S ribosomal RNA". It matches the Rfam family "Bacterial small subunit ribosomal RNA", at positions 510 to 808 of the family's 1533-position model. The record is from RNAcentral.